This is a long non-coding RNA of Antechinus flavipes (yellow-footed antechinus), 5930 nucleotides long. RefSeq lists it as uncharacterized. The transcript is spliced from 2 exons. The record is from RefSeq and is a predicted model, not a curated record. NCBI's taxonomy places the organism in Eukaryota, Metazoa, Chordata, Mammalia, Dasyuromorphia, Dasyuridae.
CCCCCCCCCCCCCACAGCACACUCUUCACUGAAUCAUAUAACCCUCAAAAUAGCAAAAUUGAGAAAGGAGAAAGUAGUUGGUAUUGUGUUUUGGCAGAGAGGGAGUUUGAGGAAAUCUGUGAAAAUGAAAAUGCCUAAUAUAAUGACUAGAGAUAAAGAUCUGCAUAAAAAGACGAUAGUGUUGAAAGGGUGGGGGAGAUAAAUAUUCUGAAGAGCUGGGGGAAAUACAAAGUGUAAAAUAAAAAGGGCUUGAGAGAGUGAGACUUAGGGAAAGUUGGGAGGAGAGUAGAGGAGUCAGUAUUAUAGAAACUAAGGGAGGGAAGAAGAAAGUGUUUCUCAUUAAAUUAAAUCUUGUUAGAUUUAGGCCAUCAUUCCACACUGAGAAGAUCUUAGAUCUUGAUUCUCCAGUUCAUUCUAUUGGCUUUUCCCCUUCCUUCUUGGCAUGUUUAUUGCAGACAUCAAUAUGAUUGAAUAAAAAGAUUACAGAACCAACUCAGAUACGUAUUCAAGUCAAAACUUCAACUUUAUUCUAACUAGCUGGAUAACCUUGAACUAAGUGGCUUAAACUCAAUACUACAUUCUCACAUCAUCCCCACUUCUAAACUUACUGCUUUGGAGGCAAAACCCAUCCUUCCAGUCUGGUUCAGAUGCUCAAAACUAGAUGUCAUCCUCAAUUCACAAGCUUGCUCCUCCUGCCUCCCUCAAUAUUCACCUAUUAUGUCAUCUGAAUUCAUCCUCUUCUCUGAUAACAUCACCAUCCUAGUGCAGGCCCUCAUCUCUUCUCACAUCUAGACAUGCUACAAGUGGUUAAUCUGCCUGAAAGUGAUUUUCCUAAAAUGUAGUUCUGACCAUGUCACCACACUCCCAAGUCAAACUCUAGUGGCUCCCUUUUACAUCCAGGAUCAAAUACAAGAUCUUCUGGUAUUCAAAGCCCUUUAUAUCCCAAUUUCCUUCCCCUUUUUUGCUCUCACUCACAUUCCUCUUUUCCUGGAGCCCCCCCACAUACUAUUUUGGUCUAGUAACAUUAAUUUCCCUACUGUUCCUCUGGAGGAGACGUCAUCCGUCAGCUCUAGGCAUUUUUCUAGCUUGUCCCUCAUUUUGAAAUUUUCUUCCUCAUCCCUUUUCCUGGCUUCCAUAAUUUGAAGCCCAACCUAAAUUCCUACCUCAGGAAGCUUUCCUGCUUUCCAAGCCUGAUGGUCUGUGCAUUGUGCUAUCUAGCUAACCCUGGACUAACGAAGCCAAGUUAAUAUACCACUUCUUUUGCAAAUUAUGUCUGCCCUCCUCCCAGGGAAUUGCAAAUUUCUGACCUAUAUUUUCUUUCUGGAGGUAAUAGUGGAUUUCUUUAUUUCUACUUCAUUCUGUGGAACACAGGAUACUGCUUUCAUCUCAAGAGGAGCCAGGUCCAGGAAGAACUUCAGGUUCCUAUAGAGUUCAAGUGAGAAGAGAGCUUUUUUCUUCCAUUUCAUUAUUCUAUCCUCCAAUCUUGUAUGUGUAACUUAGUCUUUGAUUCAUGUCUUUGGUUUUCCCUUUGAUUCAACUGUUUCAUCUUGUCAAUGACAUAGCUGGUAAACGAAUGAGAAAGCAUUCUUCAAGUUUUUUCUCCUAAUCUGCUGAGAUUAAUUUAGGUUUAUAUAGCCUAUAGAUGCCCACAAUUGCUUAUUUAUUAUGCCUUCCUACUAUUCUUUGGGUGACCUGCCACUGUGAGUGUAGUUUACUACAAACAAUAGCUAGCUAUGAUAACUAAGAAUAUUAUUGCAAAUAUAAGUUCCUUAUUUCAGAGAGACAUUUGGAAUCAGUAACUCAAUUUCCCAAAUGCAAUGCAAUCUAUUGUUCUACUAAAAUUUGAGUCUAAUUUAUUGUCCAACUGCAAUAAUUGUCCAAGAUAUUCUGUUGGAUUGCCUGUCCAAAACUUAACUGCAUUUUAUAAAACGCAUUCUUCAUCUAGUUGUCUUUUCUCAACGGAAUGAGAAAUGUUUUGAAUGAUUUUGGAGAUCUCUGAGAAGGCUCAGUGCCUUCUCUGAUGGUAUUUUGGGAAUCAGUACCAACUCACUAACAAAGAGGGGAGGGUUAACUAGAUAUAGAUAGGAUGCCAUUUUUCAGUUGGAACUCUGAUGGACUAUGUCCUUCAUGACAAUGACAAAUACUUUUGGUAAGAAUGUUUGCAUGUUUUAUGCCUUAACUGAUGACAAAAGGGUUUCUUAUUUCUGUUGUUAUAUCUUUCAAGGGGUCUUAAUAUACUUUUAAAAUAUGCAUAAGAUAUUUUUGGAAGACAGCCUUUUGUAUUGGCAAAUUAAAAUACCCUCCUCACUUUUUUUUUUUUUUUUUAAGAGCUGAUAGCUUUAGUGGCUAUAAGGUCUUCUAUUCUCUUGACUUUUCAGACUUCUACUUUAAAAAUGGUAGUUAAUCACAAUGUCAUUUGUAAGAAUUUGCCUAUUCCUUUUUUAUUGCCUGCCUUAAGAAUGUCCUUUAUGCCUGCAGGUGGUUCUUACUGUCUGGAAUACUUAAUUGUAAUUUUUAGCUCUUCCCUUUUUGGUAAUAAGGUGGUGUAAUUUUUUGAAAGGUUUGAUUACUCUUAACUUUUAGGUUUGAUAAUUGAUCCUUCAACUUUCUCACAGUUUUGGAUCAUCAUUCAGCAUGGAUUUUCCUCUGUUCUUGCUCUAGUCCAAUUUUUUUUUCCCUUUUAAAAAAAUUUCAGUGCCAUUUUGACUUUCUUUGUAGCAUAUUGGGGCGUGUGAUUUCAAAGUCCAAAUAUAGGGACUUCACUAUCACUGACUGAGCAAAUAGGUUGUUAUAGAAAUAUUGACAGGUUUUCUCUCCCCCCCCCCAUUUUUUUUUUCAUUAUUAUCUUCUCACCUAUUAUGAUCAUCACUCAGCAUAGAUUUCUUCUGUUCUUGCUCUAGUCCAGUUUUUUUUUCUUUUAAAAAGUUUUAGUGCCAUUUUGACUUUCUUAUGUAACAUAUGAAGGGAGUAUGAUUUCAGAGUAAAUAUAGAGGCUUCACUGUCAUUGAUUGAGCAAAUAGGUUGUUAUAGAAAUAUUGACAAAUGAGUUGAAAUUCUAAAUUGAUGUUGCAUGUGACUGACAUGCCUUUCUAGCUAUCAAAGACAUCAAGUGCUUUAUGGCUAAGAUGGUUUAUUUGAAUUGGGUUAAGCCUUCAGAAAUGGUGAUAAUCUGUUUCAAUAUCUGUUCUUUUAUCAAUUUCAUAAUUUUCAAUGUCAUUCAUCAAUUUCAUUUUAAAUUGUUCUAAAAUCAGUAGUCUGUAUACAGUCUGGAAACUGUCAUCAGUAACUUGUCCUUUCUUGUUUGUCAUUGGCUGAAGUCAUUAAAUGUUAAAGCAUUAAAUUGGCUCAUUUUUGAAAGGCUUAUCUAGCUAGUAGUUUGUGGAAUUUUUCUCUGUGGAUGCAUAAUCUAUAACCUUCAUUUAUGUCCUUUAACAAGUCUUUCUUCUGAGCAAUGCAAUAUGGAUGACCAAGCAUCCAGUGACUGCUUGUUGCUUAUGGAUUUAUAUUAAAACCAGCUCCAAUGUUCUUUGUUUGUUUGUCCAAAGAGAACCUAAGAACCAACACUUCCAUUUAGUUUUUUAGUUCUUUUCACCUUCUGGGCUUCUUUAUUGUGAGAAUAACGACCCAUUUCUGUUAUUGGUCAGCUAUCACAUUUAAAUUCCAAAGAGUUAAUUUUCUUUAUAAUGAUUAAAAAACCCUAGAAUUUUUAGCACUUUCUGCUGUCCCUUAGUUUGUUACCAUAACAGCAGCAGUAGGGAGGGACUGGUCAUACAGGACUAAAGACCAUAGUUAUAUUGUUUCACGGAUUGUUGUGGCCAAAGAUGUCAUCAGUGGGCAUCCUAACAGCAAGUUUCUUGGCCCUUAGAUGAGCUGGUUUUGGGAAAAGAGUCUGCCUGUUCCGAGGAUUGUUCCUAUGCAUUACAAUGACUUAGUCAUUAAAUUUGUGGUUCAAUACCUUAGAAAGUACACAGAAGCUCCUUUCCAUUGUCUCAUAUGAAGAGUUACUGAAGGCUAUUUCAGUGAAGUGGAAGUUCUGACAGAUUUUACCAAGCUGGAAAGACUUUAAAUAUGAAUCCAUGAUGAAAUGUAUCACCUGGAAUGUUAUCUAGCCAAGUUAGGAGAGGUUUAUCACUGGAAUUUUGAUAAUGAAUUAUCUCAAUCACUGUAAAUCACCAAUUUUGCAUACAAAGAUGAAGAGAUAUAUUUUCUAUCAAUAGAAGGAAUUCCUAUUAUCAGUGAGAUCAGGGGUUCAUAGUAAUGGUGCAGUAGAACGGGUACAGGUUUAGGAUGUGACAGCCUCAGUGGGACAACCCAGCAAGUCUCUGAAUCCUAUGAGUAUCAUUUUACUUGUAUGUGAAGUUGAGAUCUUGGCCCAAAUGAUAUCUGAAGUCCUUUCCUGCUCAAAAGCUGCAUCGGUUUGUGAUGCUGUUUUCAUUCUGCUCCGGUAGGAAUUCUAGUUAGAAAUUUUUAGUUUUAAUGUCUUCAUUAAGGAAACAGCUUAUAUUAAUGGCAACAUAACCGAGGUAUUAUGCUGAAGAAAUUGUUUUUGAGGUGUCAGUGACAAAGCACAAUCACAGUGAAAACAGACAUAUGCUAGAAAAUCAGGAUGAUUCUGAGAGAUGAAAUUACUGGGUUUUAGUAUUAGCAUGAGUUCACAGUGUUCUUAAUCUGUGGUAACCUUGGGAAGGAGGAAUAGGGAGACUCGUAUAGGCACCUUAUUUUUAAAGUAAAAGGAUAAUUAGACAUAUUCAAAAUGAAUAUCAAUGUCCAAACUUUAAAUUUCCAUAAAUCAGGGUAUCGGAUAUCUCUUAAAAUGUAAGAUCUUAUUAAAAGAGGCAAAUAAUCUAUUAGAGAGGGGAAAAAGGCAUUUUUAUGGUUUGAGGCUUUAAUUAUUUAGAAGGGUUCAAAGUGAAGCUCAGCCUUUACUGAGAACUUCAUUGAGCACUAUAGAAUUAUAUCCUGAAAAGUUUUACCAAGAUUCUUUUAGAAGAUCUGUAACACUUUUAAACAUAGUUGAAGACAUUGUAUUUGGUUCCCCAGUCUUCAUUUUAAAGGAAAACUCCAUUUAUUCCUAUGUUCUCUAGUGUUUUUAAUAGGGUGUUGUAUUUUGUCAAAAGAUUUUUUUCCUAUCUUCUGAUGUAAUUAUGUGAUUUCUGUUAUAGUCAAUUUUAGUUUUCCUAAUAUUGAAACAGCCCUGCAUUCCUGGUAUAACUCUACUUGGUAUAUAAUCCUGGAGAUAAAUUGCUUGUGAUUUCUUUGCCUAAUAUUUUAGUUAACAACUUUGCAUCAAUAUUAGGGAAACUGAUGUAUUAUAAUUUUUCUGUUUUGAGCCUACGUGGUUUAGGUAUUAGCACCAUAUCUGUGUCAUAAAAGGAAUUUGGUAGGUCUCCUUUCCUCCCUGUUUUUCCAAAUAGUUUGUAUAGUAUUGGAAUUAAUUGUUCUUUAAAUGUUUGGUAGAAUUAUCUAUCUGGCCCUGGAGAUUUUUACCUUAGGGAGUUAAUAGCUUGUUCAAUUUUUUUUCUAAAAUGGAACUAUUAAAUUCGUCUAUUAAUCUGGGGAAUCUAUAUAAGUAUUCAUCCUGGCAUAUAGUUGGGCAAAAGCUCUUCAUUGGUACUAAGUUCAUCCUUUUCUCUCCCAUAGUCUGUUAUCACUGAAUUAAUGCUGCUGAGAUGGAACUAUACAGUAAUGGCAUCUAUGAGUUUGACUAGAGGCUUGACAAACUGUGGAUUCAUUUCCUGUAAAUCUUAAAUGAACCUGUUCCUUGGAGCUCUUGGAAAAAAGCUGGAUCUUUCCAAAAUGAGGCAUUUAUGAUACUUCUCCACUUCUGUGUGUGUGCAUGUAACAGAUGCCGAAAAUGACGCUGUUUGAGAUAACGUUCAAGGUGGAACUACCACCAUGAAUAAUAUAUCAAUAAACUUCAUGCAAGCAUU